RNAcentral lists this ribosomal RNA (253 nucleotides) under uncultured bacterium. RNAcentral describes it as "partial 16S ribosomal RNA". It matches the Rfam family "Bacterial small subunit ribosomal RNA", at positions 524 to 776 of the family's 1533-position model. The record is from RNAcentral.
UACGUAGGCAGCAAGCGUUGUUCGGAAUUACUGGGCGUAAAGAGUACGUAGGUGGUUUGCCAAGUCCGAUGUGAAAUCUCCUGGCUUAACUGGGAGGGUGCGUUAGAAACUGGCAGGCUUGAAUGUGGGAGAGGAGAGCGGAAUUCCUGGUGUAGCGGUGAAAUGCGUAGAUAUCAGGAGGAACGCCUGUGGUGUAGACGGCUCUCUGGACCAUUAUUGACACUGAGGUACGAAAGCGUGGGUAGCAAACAGG